GUUGUGAACAAUUUUGCGGUUUAAGAACACGUCAUGAAAAUGAGCAUCAGCAGGAAACAUCUGACUUUUCUCCACCAGUCCUACAGGGAGAAUGGCCACACCAAGUUUGUCCCUGACGGGUAUUUUGGACUCAUCAAGCAGCGUUUCCAAAAGACCAGAGUAAACUCUUUGUCAGUGAUUGCCAGUGUGGUGAAGGACUGCAUCAUGACAGGGUUGAGCAUUCCACAGCUGGUUGGACUGGAGGAUGGUACUGUGCUGGUGGAAAGUUAUGACUGGCAACAACACCUGACUCCAUACUUCAGACCACUGCCACAGAUCAAGCAGUACCAGCACUUUAAAGAAAUCCACCUCCCCAUUCAAAAACCGGGCAGUGGUUUAUCAAGAGACUCCAAUGACUACUAGGACCCCAGAAACAAAGCAAGCUGGCUGAGGCUGAUUUGUUCCUAGUGGGCAUGCAGUAUAAAAACUGUGUUAGCACCGAUUCACAGCUAAUCAAGGGAGAAGAGAAAGGG
This is a long non-coding RNA of Esox lucius (northern pike), 512 nucleotides long. The record is from Ensembl. NCBI's taxonomy places the organism in Eukaryota, Metazoa, Chordata, Actinopteri, Esociformes, Esocidae.